Ictalurus punctatus (channel catfish) is the source of this 1756-nucleotide long non-coding RNA. RefSeq lists it as uncharacterized. Lineage: Eukaryota; Metazoa; Chordata; Actinopteri; Siluriformes; Ictaluridae. The transcript is spliced from 3 exons. The record is from RefSeq and is a predicted model, not a curated record.
AGGCUGAGUGUACACUUGCUUUCUUUUGAAUUGUCACCAUAUCAAAGACAAAAAAUAUCAAGACAGAAAAAUAAAAAAAUGGAAAAACAUGGCGAUACAAAACAUAUUUCUAGGCCAUAUUGCUACCAAAUAUCUUCAAGUCUAUUACAUCCAGACGUUUAAUGGUCUCUGUUUUUCUGUACGUUCUAUAGGGUUUCUCAAAAGUUUCCGUACAUAGGGGAAAUGAACACUUUUUAUCAAAAUGUAACUUUAUUUACAAACAUCCUCUGCAUGAUUCGUGUCUCCCAUCUUUGGCUCCGAGUUUGGCAACAGUGUUAUGUGUGAUGUGUUUGCCAUGCUUCCUGUUAAAGUCCAUCCCAACCUUGUGACAGCUUCCUGAUUCAGCCAUGAGAAUCAUUUCAAUACGUCCUUUUUUUGUCAAAGGCAUUCUUAAAGGCUGUCUGAAAACAGCCCUGACCUGCUGACUCAAGGCAUGGACUCCACAAGACCUCUGAAGGUGCGCUGUGGUAUCUGGCACCCAGAUGUUAGUAGCAGAUCCUUUAAGUUCUGUAAAAUGUGAGGUGGGCCCUCAUGGAUCGGACUUGUUUGUCCAGCAAAUCCCACAGAUGCUUGAUCGGAUUGAGAUCUGGGGAAUUUGGCGGCCAAGUCAAUACCUUGAACUCUUUGUCAUGUUCCACAACAAUGUACUUCCUGAACAAUUUUUGCAGUGUGGCAGGGCACAAUAUCCUGCUGGAAGUGGCCACUGCCUUUAGGGAAUACCGUUGCCAUGAAGGGUGUACUUGGUCUGCAGUAAUGUUUAGUUAGGUGAUACGUGUCAAAGUAACAUCCACAUGAAUGCCAAGACCCAGGGUUUCUCAGUGAAACAUCGCCCAGAGCAUCAUAUUGCCUCUGCCGGCUUGCCUUCUUCCCAUAGUGCAUGCUGGUGCCAUCUCUUCCCCAGGUGCUUUUGGUGGUGGACAGGGGUCAGCAUGGGCACUCUGACCAGUCUGUGACUACGUAGGCCCAUACACAGCAAGCUGAGAUGCACUGUGUGUUCUAUCAUAACCAGCAUUACAUUUUUCUGCAAUUUGUACUACAGUAGCUCUUCUGUGGGAUUGGCCCAGACAGUUUAGCCUUCGUUCCCCACAUGCAUCAUUGAGCCUUGGGCGCCCAUGACCCUGUCGCCGGUUCACCGUUUGUGCUUCCUUGGAUCACUUUUGCACAUCAACUUCGAGAACUGACUGUUCGCUUGCUGCCUGAUAUCUCCCACCCAUUGACAGGUGCCACUGUAACAAGAUAGUCAAUGUUAUCCACUUAACUGUCAGUGGUUAUAAUGUUAUUGCUGGUGUAUAUAAUAUAAACCAAGUAUGACAUUUUGCUAAAAAGUGUUCAUUUCCCCUAUUUAUGGAGACUUUUGGGACACCUUGUGGUUUGUUAACAUUGUUACACUGCCCCCAACUGGACACGCUCAUGUUACAUGUGAUUAUAUUAUGAAGAUGUGGGAGUAGUAAUCAGACAUUAAAAGGCAACUCAUGAGGCAUACGUAUUUUCAGGGCGUUGGGUCAGUUGCACAGAGGGGCCAAGGCUUAGUGUUUUCUUUACAAUUGUAAUUUUGCCUCUCAUCCAGUAGGAGACCCUAUCACAAACUGCUUCUUUUAUGUGGUUCAAGUGAAGGUAGCUUGAAUGAGGUAUAUAGGGCAGUUUAUUUAACAUAUUGCAGAUUUUGGGAAAAAAAAAACAUUGUUGAUUAUAAUUCUUGUUUUUUUUUUUUAAAUUC